AAGGUUUCCGUAGGUGAACCUGCGGAAGGAUCAUUACAAGUGAGGCUACCGAACGUUGGAAACAGCGGUUAGGAGCUUACACCCACCCGUGUUUACAUACUAUUGUUGCUUUGGCGGGCCGUGGCCUCCACUGCGGGCUCUGCUCGUGUGUGCCCGCCAGAGGACCAAACUCUGAAUGUUAGUGAUGUCUGAGUACUAUCUAAUAGUUAAAACUUUCAACAACGGAUCUCUUGGUUCUGGCAUCGAUGAAGAACGCAGCGAAAUGCGAUAAGUAAUGUGAAUUGCAGAAUUCAGUGAAUCAUCGAAUCUUUGAACGCACAUUGCGCCCUGUGGUAUUCCGCAGGGCAUGCCUGUUCGAGCGUCAUUUAACCACUCACGCCUAGCGUGGUGUUGGGGCACGCGGUCUCGCGGCCCUCAAAAUUAGUGGCGGCGCCGGUGGGCUCUAAGCGUAGUACAUACUCCCGCUAUAGAGUUCCCCCGGUGGCUCGCCAGAACCCCCAAUUUUUUACAGGUUGACCUCGGAUCAGGUAGGGAUACCCGCUGAACUUAAGCAUAUCAAUAAGCGGAGGAAA
RNAcentral lists this ribosomal RNA (572 nucleotides) under uncultured Helotiales. RNAcentral's name for it is "eukaryotic LSU rRNA". The stretch from base 211 to 364 matches the Rfam family "5.8S ribosomal RNA". The record is from RNAcentral. Lineage: Eukaryota; Fungi; Ascomycota; Leotiomycetes; Helotiales.